Molecule: ribosomal RNA, 485 nt
Filed under: uncultured bacterium
Lineage: Bacteria
Description: bacterial SSU rRNA
Rfam family: Bacterial small subunit ribosomal RNA
Source: RNAcentral
CGCGUGGAUGACGAAGGCCGAAAGGUUGUAAAAUCCUUUUGCUGGGGAAGAAUAAGUCUGGGAGGGAAUGCCCGGAUGAUGACAUGAACCGGCGAAUAAGCCCCGGCCAACUACGUGCCAGCAGCCGCGGUAACACGUAGGGGGCGAGCGUUGUUCGGAAUUACUGGGCGUAAAGGGCAUGUAGGCGGUUUUGUAAGCCUGGCGUGAAAGAUCACAGCUUAACUGUGAGGGUGCGUUGGGAACUGCGAGGCUAGAGUUAUGGAGAGGGAGCUAGAAUUCCUGGUGUAGGGGUGGAAUCUGUAGAGAUCAGGAAGAAUACCAAUGGCGAACGCAAGCUUCUGGCCGAUAACUGACCGCUGAGGUGCGAAAGUGUGGGGAUCAAACAGGAUUAGAUACCCUGGUAGUCCACACUGUAAACGAUGUGCACUAGGUGCUGGUGCGGAUGCAUCAGUGCCGUAGCUAACGUGCUAAGUGCACCGCCUGGG